UAAAGUCUUUAACACAAAGGUUUGGUCCUAGCCUUGAAAUCAGUUUUUACUUAAUAUACACAUGCAAGUCUCCGCACCCCUGUGAAAACGCCCUUAACUUCCUAUCAGGAAUAAGGAGCCGGUAUCAGGCUCAAUCUUUAGCCCAAGACACCUAGCUAUGCCACACCCACAAGGGAAUUCAGCAGUGAUUAACAUUGAGUAUAAGCGCCAGCUUGACUCAGUUAAAGUAAAAAGAGCCGGCAAAUCUGGUGCCAGCCGCCGCGGUUACACCACGAGGCUCAAAUUGAUUUUAUUCGGCGUAAAGCGUGAUUAAAGUUAACCUAAUAACUAUAGUUGCACUAAAACUAAGCUGUGACACGCUUGUCUUUAAGAAACUCAAAAACGAAAGUUACUAUAUUUACAUCAACUUGAACCCACGACAGCUAGGAUACAAACUGGGAUUAGAUACCCCACUAUGCCUAGCAGUAAACUUUUAACUACACCCGUAUCGCCUGGGAACUACGAGCAAAGCUUAAAACCCAAAGGACUUGACGGUACCCCACAUCCACCUAGAGGAGCCUGUCCUAUAAUCGAUAACCCCCGCUUAACCUCACCAUUUUUAGCCUUUCAGCUUGUAUACCUCCGUCGUCAGCUUACCUCGUGAGCGAUUUAUAGUGAGCUUAAUAUCUACACGUUAAUACGUCAGGUCAAGGUGCAGUAAAUAAAAUGGGAAGAGAUGGGCUACACUCUCUAAUAUAGAAUAUACGAAAGACUAUUCAUGAAACCUAGUCAGAAGGCGGAUUUAGUAGUAAAAAGAGAUCAUAGAGCUCUUUUUAACACGGCACUGGGGUGUGUACACACCGCCCGUCACCCUCUUCAAAGCUAAAAAAUAGUACCUAACAUAAUAUGGCAAACCAGAAGAGGCAAGUCGUAACAUGGUAAGUAUACCGGAAGGUGUGCUUGGAAACAAAAUGUAGCUUAAAUAAAGCAUCUUGCUUACACCAAGAAAAUACCUGUGAGACCCAGAUCAUUUUGAGCCAAAAACCUAGCCCCCCCCCCCCCCCCCCCCCCCACCAAUGCAUCACAAUAAUUAUUAUUAAAAAUCAAAACAUUUUUAUAAUUUAGUAAAGGCGAUUGAAAAACUAUUAGGAGCUAUAUUAAGAGUACCGCAAGGGAAAGGUGAAAUAAAAAUGAAAAAAAUUUCAAGCACUCAAAAGUAGAGAUUUAACCUCGUACCUUUUGCAUCAUGGUUUAACUAGUCAAAUCAAGCAAGACGACUUAUAGUUUGACCUCCCGAAACUAGGCGAGCUACUUCAGGGCAGCUUAUUGAGCAAACCCGUCUCUGUUGCAAAAGAGUGGGAAGACCCUCAAGUAGGGGUGACAGACCUAACGAGCUUAGUGAUAGCUGGUUACUCAAGAAAAGGAUUUUAGUCCAGCCUAAAGUCUCAUUAAUAUCUUAAAAUAUAACCACUUUAGAGUAAUUCAAAUAAGGUACAGCCUAUUUGAAACAGGAUACAACCUCAACCAAAGGGUAAUUAUUCUUAAUAACAACCAAGUAGGCCUAAAAGCAGCCAUCUUUUGAAUAGCGUCAAAGCUUAAUUGUUUACACCCUUAAUUCCAAAAAUAAUUUAGAACCCUACAUUAAUACUGAGUAAUUCUAUAUACCUAUAGAACAUUUUAUGUUAAAACUAGUAACAAGAAGAAGACCUUCUCUUAAAUGUAAGUGUAAGUCAAAAAGGACCAACCAGUGACUAUUAACAUUACUGAACAAAAAUUAGCAACCCAACAAGAAAAACCUAAUUUUCAUCAUGUUAAACUAACACAAGAGCAUUACAAGAAAGAUUAAAAGAAAAAGAAGGAACUCGGCAAACAUUAACCUCGCCUGUUUACCAAAAACAUCGCCUCUUGAAUAAAUAUAAGAGGUCCAGCCUGCCCAGUGACUCUGUUCAACGGCCGCGGUAUCCUAACCGUGCGAAGGUAGCGUAAUCACUUGUUCUUUAAAUAAGGACUAGUAUGAAUGGCACCACGAAGGUUAUACUGUCUCCUUUUUUUAAUCAGUGAAACUAAUCUCCCCGUGAAGAAGCGGGGAUAAACUUAUAAGACGAGAAGACCCUAUGGAGCUUUAAACUAAACUACACUUGCUUUUAUAUAUAAACAUUUUCAGAAUGAUUAAUACUUAUCUUAGCUUCAUGAUUUUUAGUUUUAGGUUGGGGUGACCGCGGAGUAAAAUAAAACCUCCACAUUGAAAGGGAUUUUGAACCCUGAGCAAUGAGUCACGACUCUAUGCACCAAUAAAUUGACAUCAAUUGACCCAAUACUUUUGAUCAAUGAACCAAGUUACCCUAGGGAUAACAGCGCAAUCCGCCUCAAGAGCUCCUAUCGACAGGCGGGUUUACGACCUCGAUGUUGGAUCAGGGUAUCCCAGUGGUGCAGCCGCUACUAAAGGUUCGUUGUUCAACGAUAAAA
Molecule: non-coding RNA, 2445 nt
Filed under: Pseudacris maculata (boreal chorus frog)
Lineage: Eukaryota; Metazoa; Chordata; Amphibia; Anura; Hylidae
Description: partial contains 12S ribosomal RNA, tRNA-Val, and 16S ribosomal RNA
Rfam family: Bacterial large subunit ribosomal RNA (bases 1094-2445)
Source: RNAcentral